This 87-nucleotide transfer RNA is filed under the name Candidatus Palibaumannia cicadellinicola. Its description in RNAcentral is "Candidatus Baumannia cicadellinicola tRNA". It matches the Rfam family "tRNA". From Rfam's summary of the family: Transfer RNA (tRNA) molecules are approximately 80 nucleotides in length. Their secondary structure includes four short double-helical elements and three loops (D, anti-codon, and T loops). Further hydrogen bonds mediate the characteristic L-shaped molecular structure. tRNAs have two regions of fundamental functional importance: the anti-codon, which is responsible for specific mRNA codon recognition, and the 3' end, to which the tRNAs corresponding amino acid is attached (by aminoacyl-tRNA synthetases). tRNAs cope with the degeneracy of the genetic code in two manners: having more than one tRNA (with a specific anti-codon) for a particular amino acid; and 'wobble' base-pairing, i.e. permitting non-standard base-pairing at the 3rd anti-codon position. The record is from Rfam by way of RNAcentral. Lineage: Bacteria; Pseudomonadati; Pseudomonadota; Gammaproteobacteria.
GCCGAGGUGGUGAAAUUGGUAGACACGCUACUUUGAGGUGGUAGUGCUAAAUUAAGCAGCUUACGGGUUCAAAUCCCGUCCUCGGUA